ACCUGGCUGGCUCAGUUGGGAGAGUAUGUGACUCUUGAUCUCUGGGUUGUGAGUUUGAGUCCCAUGCUGGGUG
RNAcentral lists this transfer RNA (73 nucleotides) under Canis lupus familiaris (dog). It matches the Rfam family "tRNA". Rfam says of the family: Transfer RNA (tRNA) molecules are approximately 80 nucleotides in length. The record is from Rfam by way of RNAcentral. Lineage: Eukaryota; Metazoa; Chordata; Mammalia; Carnivora; Canidae. RNAcentral also lists the same sequence under 1 other name.